CCUUUGAUCACUGAAUUGGGUUGAACUAAUUCAUAUAUUUGAAAUUAGGUGGUUGAAUAACGCUGGAACGGCCAUAUGGAUUCAAUUUCUUGAUCGACCAAUAACCUUGUUUCGACUGAAACCAAUACGUGCAAGUAGUCAAUUUGACAGUUGAAAUAAACACUGCUUUUGAAUUGCAAGUGAACAUAAAUGAACAAGCUUUCAUCUGGCUGUACAGAGUGUGAAGUAAAUGGUGCAGCAAGUAUAAAUGAAAGAAGAAGCGGGGGCGGUUGAAGAACUUAAAUAGUAGGUUUUAAUCCGUCGAGACACUACAAGCACAUAUGUAAUAUUCAAAAGAUGAUGCAACUGCAGUUCUUAGUAGUUGGGGUCAGAAAACCAAGCUUCGAUGUCAUGACAUAACAAAAGAUACAAUAAAAAUUGCACGGACAUAAUAGUUGUCAGGCUUCCAUAACAACGUUACCAAGUCGGUAAAAGCUAGGAAUAACAAAACACAUACAAGUAGUUUCAUAUUAGAGAAUAUAUGAAUUUGUGGAGCAUAGAUAAAGUCUAAAUUUCCUGGUUGGCGGAGUUUCUUUGAUGAUCUUGUUCUAAAGCUAAUACCAUUCAACUUUAAAAUGUACCUCACAGUAUCAAUCAUCUCAAUUAACUAGCCACAAAGUUUCCUUUUUAGCUUGCCAUGGUUCAGUUGUAGCAAACUACCAAAGCCCAUUUGACAAGCAGCCACUCUUUGUUUAUCUGUCAGCUGUGAAACUGCCACCGCUAAUCUAUCUGGAGUACAUCUGGUUAAGAACUUUGCAUUUGCGACUGCUGACUUCACUAUCCAUUCGCAUUGACUUUGUAUUGACAUUUUCUCUCCGGUGGUAAAUUCUUAGACAUGGAUUCAAUUUCCGUCCAGUACACAAUCAUGGCAAAUAAACUAACUACACCUUCACUACUUGAAAAUACAAAUUCAUUUUAUUUUUAUAGUGCAACUUCACAUACCUCUUUUGUAACGCAAGUCAAUCCAUCGCUUGCCUUAAUCUCACGCACGACUUCACCGCUACAAUAUCAUCAUAUGAUUGCGAAAUGAUGUAUCUCUAUAAUUUUUAAUGAACCUUUAACUAAGCUUACAAAUAUCUUAUGAACCCACCACGGCAUUGCCUUUUUAUUCUUCCUUCAAUGCUUUGAUCACCACCAACUUCUACAGCACCGCCAUCAAUCUCACAUGAUUUAUGCUUAUUACUUCCCACCAACUUAAUUUAUGAAAUUCAACGAUACCUUUAUUUAUUAUAAUCAAACUAAAGUUCAUAGCAUCAUACAGUUUACAUUCCUAGUCCAGCACAAAAAAAAAACAUAUAAUUAACCCCAAAACAAACAAAAAAAUUGGGGGAAAAAAUAAACAGAGGAGAUCUGGAACAAAGGGUAAGCAUGUAUCAUUUGCAUGUGUUACCAUCUUAAUGCUAACUGUUGAGUGUUAGAAAAUGUAUAUUUAUAAAGGAGAAAAUCAUCAUUUUACACUUCAAGUUUUACUAACACCCUUACUUUUAUGUAUUUAAGCUUCUUGUCAUUUAAUUAUGUGUGUUGUAUUAUAAUUAAGUAUUUUAUGUAUUUUAGAGGCAUCAUAGUCAUUUCACAAUGAACGAGAGAUCAGACGAUAAAACAGACAUCACUUUUGAACUCAGGACGGUGAAUUGGAUCAUUGCCUAUUGAUUUAUUGGUAAAAUUAAAAGCACCACAAAAUAACAAAAAGAAAUUGAUUUAUAUCACAAAAUCUUUCAUUUCACAUUUAAAUAUUAUUAGUAUAUAUUACAAAUUCAACUUCAAUAGCCAAAAAAUGAGAUAUCCUACUCUCAUAACUAAAUAAUCUAAAUUCAAUACAUAAAAAUUUCACCAUCCAAUCAAAUGUCUACUACUUGUGGCCAAAUUUAAUAAAUCUAGAAGCUAAAUUGAUAAUGAUGACUGUCUUUCACUCUUUGAAUAUGAGUAGUAUAAUUGCGUUAUCACACCAGCAGCUUCUCCAUUUAAUAAACUGUAUGGGUUAUGAUACAAGUGAAGUUGAGGAAUAAACACUUCAAACACAUUGAGCAAAUCUGCAUACAUGGAAAAGGGAGAAAAAAUUAGCUGCCAAUUCCCAACCAUUAGAGAAACAAUGGUUAAUAUAAAUAAAUCUAUUUUGUUCUAAAGAAAAAAUAUUCAUACACUAUUUAUAAGUAAACUCAGUUAUUUCAAAGAAAAAUUAGUGAACAAGGAAGUUGUAGUUUAUUUCCUUACAAAUACUAAAGAAAUACAGUUUAUUCCCAGUAACUACAUCAUAAUGUUGAGCAAUUAAUUACUAAGGCAUCAGCCAAGUAGUUAGUGCAGGGACUGACUUCAUUCAUUGCCUUAAAAAAAUCCAAUAACCUUGCUGCCUCCUUAUUUAUAUGCAUACUUCCAAUGCUUAAUUAUUUUGCUGCAGAGAAAGAAAGUUAAUAGAAAUGACAAACUGAUAGCGUUUCUGCAAUUUUCAGAUAAUCACACAGAGCAUUUUUUUCUGCUGUACCGUACAUCCGCCUUGGCCGUACAGCAGAUAAAACCCAAGCUAACUGGGACUUAUUGCUAUGGAUUCGAAUAUCAUUUUAAUACAUGAAAUUACUAAAAUAAACAUUACUAUAUUGUUGAGAAAAUAUCCAUAAAUUUAUUUUUAAAAAAUUUUUGCUCCCCAAUUUUGCCAUUAUCAGUAUGAAAUCUAAUUUCCUACCAACUAUAUUAUGAUAAAAAAAUGAUUCACAUAAAAAAUCUCAUAUUAAAAAUACACUUACCUUAAGUUUUAGUAUACGCAAUCCCUUUCGUUUCAUUCAAUACUACCGCAACAAACUACAAGUCACCGUAAUCUACUUUAAAAAUUCGCAGCAUCACUACUUCAGUUACAGUUAUCCAGAAUUAAGAAAAUAUUACUGCUUGAAAAAUUUCACUGACGUCUGUUGAAAUACGAGCAAAUGUUUAUAGAACCCUAAAACUAAUUUGGUAGCUGAAACAAGUUUGGACAGUUGCCCACUUCACGUCAUUGUUCAGUUUUAAAAUCCUAAUCGUUGGAUUAGAGUCAUUAUAAUCUAACGACUGGCUUGGAUAAUGAUAAAAGAAAGAGGUACGGUUAGGGGAGGACAAAAUCAAAUUCGGGUCCGGUUCGGGUCAACUCGAUCGGGUUCAGGUUGUUAGAGUUGGGCAAACGUUGAUCCGAAUGCAACCCUAACUUACGACCCGACCCGAUCCGAUCCGAUAUAUAUUCAGAUCGGAUCAAAAAUCAGGUUAGAUUCGGGUAGGAUCGGAUUCGGGUUAACCAUAUAUAAUAUACCAUCAAAGAUUCAAAGCUUCAAAACUCAAUAGUCAAAACUCAGUCUCGAAGUAGAGAAACUUAGGUUGGGUUGGAAGCUUAGAGCAGCAGAAUGCAUAUCGGGUUUGGGUCGGCGGCAUAUCGGUGGCACUUGGCACUUCGUAGCAGAUCGGUGGCCACGGACGCGCAGCGCAACAGCAGAUCAAGGACUUGAUCCGGUGCAUAGCAGCAGAUCGCAGAUUGGCGAACUCACAGCAGCAAAUCGUAGAUCGAUGAACUCACAGCAGCAGAUCGCAGACUGGCGAACUCACAGCAGCAGGUAGGCGAACACGCAGUAGGUCGAACACUUCUUGAGGGUUAGGCUGUGACUUGUGUCUGUGUGGACUCCGUUGGCGACUUGGCGUUGGCCGUUGGGUGUGAGUGAUUGUGGAUGUGUUUUGUGUUAGGAGGACCCGAGGAGGGUUGAGUUCGCUGUGACUUCACUGACUUGUGUUUGUGUGUGGAUUGUAAAUGAAUCUGUGAGCAUGAUUUGUGUUGUGUGUGAGAUUUGUGUUGUGUGUGUAUUGUAAAUGAAUUUGUAAGUGUGAUUUGUGUUGUGUGUGACUCUGUGUGGCAUGCGUGUAUGUGUUUAUUUUAUUUUUUUAAAGAACCCGAUCGAGUUUUACUGUUUUCGUCCAAUCGGAUUUUUUUUUACAAUCCGAUCCGAUCCAAACCCGAAACAUUUUAGGUCGAGUCGAAAUAAUUUACCCACCCCUGGAUACGGUACCCAAGGGGCACCAUAACUGGACCCAUCUUUUUGACCCAAAAGCUAACCUACUAAAUAACAAAAAAAUUAUUUAUUAUUUAUUGUUAUCAUUAUCAUGGGUCCAGUUGUGAUGACAAUCUAUUAUUGGCCUCGAUUUAUAGGUGGGUUUUGAUGGCCAUAUUGCAUUGACGUCUGUUGAAAUACGAGCAAGGGUUUAUAGAACCCUAAAACUAAUUUG
Molecule: long non-coding RNA, 4272 nt
Filed under: Citrus sinensis (sweet orange)
Lineage: Eukaryota; Viridiplantae; Streptophyta; Magnoliopsida; Sapindales; Rutaceae
Description: long non-coding RNA (CSIN_LNC004757)
Source: RNAcentral